GUGUCAGCAGCCGCGGUAAUACGUAGGGUGCGAGCGUUAAUCGGAAUUACUGGGCGUAAAGAGUGCGUAGGCGGUCCCGCAAGUCCGCUGUGAAAGCCCCGGGCUUAACCUGGGAAUGGCAGUGGAAACUAUGGGACUUGAAUCUGGCAGAGGGGGGUGGAAUGCCACGUGUAGCAGUGAAAUGCGUAGAGAUGUGGCGGAACACCGAUGGCGAAGGCAGCCCCCUGGGCUGAGAUUGACGCUCAGGCACGAAAGCGUGGGGAGCAAACAGGAUUAGAUACCCUGGUAGUCC
Molecule: ribosomal RNA, 292 nt
Filed under: uncultured bacterium
Lineage: Bacteria
Description: partial 16S ribosomal RNA
Rfam family: Bacterial small subunit ribosomal RNA
Source: RNAcentral